RNAcentral lists this ribosomal RNA (458 nucleotides) under uncultured bacterium. Its description in RNAcentral is "partial 16S ribosomal RNA". It matches the Rfam family "Bacterial small subunit ribosomal RNA", at positions 338 to 795 of the family's 1533-position model. The record is from RNAcentral.
CCUACGGGAGGCAGCAGUGAGGAAUAUUGGUCAAUGGGCGAGAGCCUGAACCAGCCAAGUCGCGUGAGGGAGUACUGCCCUAUGGGUUGUAAACCUCUUUUGUCGGGGAGCAAAAGCCGGACGUGUCCGGCUGUGAGAGUACCCGAAGAAAAAGCAUCGGCUAACUCCGUGCCAGCAGCCGCGGUAAUACGGAGGAUGCGAGCGUUAUCCGGAUUUAUUGGGUUUAAAGGGUGCGCAGGCGGAUUUUUAAGUCAGCGGUAAAAUCGUGGGGCUCAACCCCAUCCAGCCGUUGAAACUGGGGAUCUAGAGUGUGCGAGAGGUAUGCGGAAUGCGUGGUGUAGCGGUGAAAUGCAUAGAUAUCACGCAGAACCACGAUUGCGAAGGCAGCAUACCGGUGCACAACUGACGCUCAGGCACGAAAGCGUGGGUAUCGAACAGGAUUAGAUACCCGGGUAGUC